RNAcentral lists this ribosomal RNA (480 nucleotides) under uncultured bacterium. Its description in RNAcentral is "partial 16S ribosomal RNA". It matches the Rfam family "Bacterial small subunit ribosomal RNA", at positions 28 to 507 of the family's 1533-position model. The record is from RNAcentral.
GACGAACGCUGGCGGCGUGCUUAACACAUGCAAGUCGAACGAUGAAGAAAAGAAUUGAAGCUUCGGCAGAAAUUCAUUUCGGAUUAGUGGCAGACGGGUGAGUAACCCGUGAGCAACCUACCUCUUACAAAGGGAUAGCCUCGGGAAACCGGGAUUAAUACCAUAUAACAUUGCGACGAAGCAUUUCGAUGCAAUCAAGGCUACGGCGGUAAGAGAUGGGCUCGCGUCCCAUUAACCAGAUGGUGAGGUAACGGCUCACCAUAGUAACGAUGGGUAACCGGCCUGAGAGGGUGAACGGUCACACUGGAACUGAGACACGGUCCAGACUCCUACGGGAGGCAGCAGUGGGGAAUAUUGCACAAUGGAGGGAACUCUGAUGCAGCGACGCCGCGUGAGUGAUGAAGGAAUUCGUUUCGUAAAACUCUGUUCUAUGGGAAGAAAAGGACUGUACCAUAGGAGAAAGCUCCGGCUAAAUACGUG